Molecule: long non-coding RNA, 2005 nt
Filed under: Rattus norvegicus (Norway rat)
Lineage: Eukaryota; Metazoa; Chordata; Mammalia; Rodentia; Muridae
Description: long non-coding RNA NONRATT008660
Source: RNAcentral
UGGUGGAAGAGAGAUAGGUCUGGAGAGAUGCUGAGGAGAAGCAUCAUCAUGAAUCUCCUUUAGCACUGCAUUGUCUCAUCUCCUGCUCAUACAGACUUCCAUCCACUUCCUACCUGUGUUUGCUCAGUCUAAACCACCCUGCAAUUGUCAUCCCAUUUAAAAAAUAAUAAUAAAAUAAAAGUGGAAUAAAAAAAGAGAAAGAAAAAUGAGGGGAAGAAACCCAGGGUCCGGGUAGAAGAAAGAGAUGGGGAAGGCUGUGAUCUGGGGCUUGCUCUGUAGUUUCAGCCAGAACAACAUCCUGACUGUAAGAUCGAAGUUAAAUAACAAAUGGGAGAUGAGUCCUGUUCGGUGAGUAGCAGCGAAUGGGGGAAGAGAUCAGAACUCCUCAAUGAUUACUAAGUUUUCUGGCUGUAGAAGGAGGCAGGUAGGAUGGUGAGGACAGACUUGGAAGACAGACAUAGAGUCUGAACAGAAAUGGAUGGUUCUAACUAGACCACACAAGCAGCUCUAGAGACAGGACCAGGGACAAGAGACAGGAAGGAACCCAGCUUCCUGAGCUCCAGCAUCUGGACUCACUUCCCACAUGGGUCUCUCUUCUCCCCACAACCCAGAGAGGCCAAAACAAUCAGUAUCUUCAUGGAGCAAGUGAGAAAGCUGCCCAUCUCCUGAACAUGUGAUCCAGGCUCCCUUUCCCUCUCAAGAUACAUAACUGUCCAUUGGUCCUAUUUUCAGAUUGAUAAAGAGGCACAGGCAAGACGGCUACAGAGAUGGCUCAGUUGUUAGAGAGCUUGCUUUUCAAGAGUUCAGAUCUCGGGUACCCACAUGAGCGGUGGAUGGACAUGAGGAACCCAACAGUAAUACCAGUCUUGAGAUUCGGUACUACAGAUUCCCAGAGCAAUAAAGCUAGUAAGACUAGGCACAUGAGUGACCUCCAAGGUUGACUGAGAGCCCCUGUCUCAGUGAAUCAGGAUGAGGAGUUAACAAGGAUGAUACUCAACAUGAACUUUGGGCCUCCACAUGCAAACCCAUAUGCCCACUCACAGGUACCCACAUAAGUAUGCAAGCAUACAUGCAUAUAUGACACAUAAAGAUGGACAUGAAAAUUGCAAAAAAAAAAAAACCAAAACAAAAGUUUGACAGACAAGAAAGUAGUCAUUAACCAAACCCAUGCAUAACAUGACUCUAUCCACUGAAAUAACAUAAACCAUAUAUUUAAUUUAAAAUCCUUCAGUCACGUUAAAAAUGAAAAAAAUAACGCUCAGUGAUAAUUUUUAUAAUGCUACCUAAGUCAGCACAUGUAUAGCUGGAUUUCCUACAUGAAACACAGAAUCAUCAUGAAACUUAUUCGUGGGGUAAUUUUGAUUCUGCCGUCAUACCAAAUCUCCAACUGUUUCCCAAAUACGUACACAGUUAAUCCCAAGGAACUGCCCAAGUAGCUAGUAUUUGCAACACUAUGAAGCGCUGAUGAACCCGGAUUGGAUUUUGAUGGUGUAGAUUCUUUUGCUAGCCUCUCCGGAGAAACCCUCUGUAAAAGUGAUGGUCAAACUAUUCAAAGUCUACCUUAUUCUGGAAGGACAGAAACGUCUUCUGCGUGUCUCAUGUCACUAUGUCUGUGUUUCAAAAGAUAAUUUGUUCUAGGAAAAUGGAAGGCUGGGCUUACAAGUGCCACCAACGGCAGUCUGAGUCUUGUACUCAGGGGCAUUGUGAGAGUCAAGUUAGCCUUUCUAGUACAGGAGGCCAACCAGUCCCUUUGUGUAAAAUUUAUCAUUUCAUGAUGACAGGUACUCGCUCAUUGUUACAUUUGAAAAAAAAUCGUCCUUUUCUAUGAUCCACUGUUGGGAAUGAAUACCAUACUAUGCCCAGAGUUAACUUUCUAUUCUGGCUGUUUGAAAUUGUUUCAACUCCAAUCCCAGCUACUCUUUAGCUAAUAUGAUGCUUUAAAGUCUUAUCCUUGGCUUAAUGGAGUGCAUUAAAGAUUUGACUAAAUUUAUGUUUGGCUGCAAUC